Molecule: ribosomal RNA, 516 nt
Filed under: uncultured bacterium
Lineage: Bacteria
Description: partial 16S ribosomal RNA
Rfam family: Bacterial small subunit ribosomal RNA
Source: RNAcentral
GACGAACGCUGGCGGCAUGCCUAAUACAUGCAAGUCGAGCGGAGUUGAUGAGAAGCUUGCUUCUCUGAUACUUAGCGGCGGACGGGUGAGUAACACGUAGGCAACCUGCCCUCAAGCUUGGGACAACUACCGGAAACGGUAGCUAAUACCGAAUACUUGUUUUCUUCGCCUGAAGGAAACUGGAAAGACGGAGCAAUCUGUCACUUGGGGAUGGGCCUGCGGCGCAUUAGCUAGUUGGUGAGGUAACGGCUCACCAAGGCGACGAUGCGUAGCCGACCUGAGAGGGUGAUCGGCCACACUGGGACUGAGACACGGCCCAGACUCCUACGGGAGGCAGCAGUAGGGAAUCUUCCGCAAUGGGCGAAAGCCUGACGGAGCAAUGCCGCGUGAGUGAUGAAGGUUUUCGGAUCGUAAAGCUCUGUUGCCAGGGAAGAACGCUUGGGAGGGUAACUGCUCCCAAGGUGACGGUACCUGAGAAGAAAGCCCCGGCUAACUACGUGCCAGCAGCCGCCGCAG